RNAcentral lists this small RNA (69 nucleotides) under Sinorhizobium meliloti 2011. RNAcentral describes it as "putative ncRNA". The record is from RNAcentral. Lineage: Bacteria; Pseudomonadati; Pseudomonadota; Alphaproteobacteria; Hyphomicrobiales; Rhizobiaceae.
GUGAAUGUGGAGAUGUCGAUCGUCUUGGUGCUUUCGAGAGCAACGUUCUCAAGCUCCUCGUCUUCGAGA